This 84-nucleotide transfer RNA is filed under the name Nitrospirota bacterium. RNAcentral's name for it is "tRNA-Leu". It matches the Rfam family "tRNA". From Rfam's summary of the family: Transfer RNA (tRNA) molecules are approximately 80 nucleotides in length. RNAcentral also lists the same sequence under 3 other names. The record is from RNAcentral. Lineage: Bacteria; Pseudomonadati; Nitrospirota.
GCCGAAGUGGCGGAAUGGCAGACGCGCACGUUUGAGGGGCGUGUGGGGAAACCCGUCCGGGUUCAAGUCCCGGCUUCGGCACCA